CCAGACUCCUACGGGAGGCAGCAGUGGGGGAUAUUGCACAAUGGGGGAAACCCUGAUGCAGCGACGCCGCGUGAGUGAAGAAGUAAUUCGUUACGUAAAGCCCUAUCGGCAGGGAAGAAGCAAGACGGUACCUGACUAAGAAGCCCCGGCUAACUACGUGCCAGCAGCCGCGGUAAUACGUAGGGGGCAAGCGUUAUCCGGAUUUACUGGGUGUAAAGGGAGCGUAGACGGCGGUGCAAGCCAGAUGUGAAAGCCCGGGGCUCAACCCCGGGACUGCAUUUGGAACUGUGCUGCUAGAGUGUCGGAGAGGCAGGCGGAAUUCCUAGUGUAGCGGUGAAAUGCGUAGAUAUUAGGAGGAACACCAGUGGCGAAGGCGGCUUACUGGACUGUAAAUGACGCUGAGGCUCGAAAGCGUGGGGAGCAAACAGGAUUAGAUACCCCAGUA
RNAcentral lists this ribosomal RNA (445 nucleotides) under uncultured bacterium. RNAcentral's name for it is "partial 16S ribosomal RNA". It matches the Rfam family "Bacterial small subunit ribosomal RNA", at positions 331 to 792 of the family's 1533-position model. The record is from RNAcentral.